RNAcentral lists this ribosomal RNA (1440 nucleotides) under uncultured bacterium. Its description in RNAcentral is "bacterial SSU rRNA". It matches the Rfam family "Bacterial small subunit ribosomal RNA". The record is from RNAcentral.
UUUCAGGAUGAACGCUAGCUACAGGCUUAACACAUGCAAGUCGAGGGGCAGCAUGGUCUUAGCUUGCUAAGGCCGAUGGCGACCGGCGCACGGGUGAGUAACACGUAUCCAACCUGCCGUCUACUCUUGGACAGCCUUCUGAAAGGAAGAUUAAUACAAGAUGGCAUCAUGAGUCCGCAUGUUCACAUGAUUAAAGGUAUUCCGGUAGACGAUGGGGAUGCGUUCCAUUAGAUAGUAGGCGGGGUAACGGCCCACCUAGUCUUCGAUGGAUAGGGGUUCUGAGAGGAAGGUCCCCCACAUUGGAACUGAGACACGGUCCAAACUCCUACGGGAGGCAGCAGUGAGGAAUAUUGGUCAAUGGGCGAGAGCCUGAACCAGCCAAGUAGCGUGAAGGAUGACUGCCCUAUGGGUUGUAAACUUCUUUUAUAAAGGAAUAAAGUCGGGUAUGGAUACCCGUUUGCAUGUACUUUAUGAAUAAGGAUCGGCUAACUCCGUGCCAGCAGCCGCGGUAAUACGGAGGAUCCGAGCGUUAUCCGGAUUUAUUGGGUUUAAAGGGAGCGUAGAUGGAUGUUUAAGUCAGUUGUGAAAGUUUGCGGCUCAACCGUAAAAUUGCAGUUGAUACUGGAUAUCUUGAGUGCAGUUGAGGCAGGCGGAAUUCGUGGUGUAGCGGUGAAAUGCUUAGAUAUCACGAAGAACUCCGAUUGCGAAGGCAGCCUGCUAAGCUGCAACUGACAUUGAGGCUCGAAAGUGUGGGUAUCAAACAGGAUUAGAUACCCUGGUAGUCCACGCGGUAAACGAUGAAUACUCGCUGUUUGCGAUAUACUGCAAGCGGCCAAGCGAAAGCGUUAAGUAUUCCACCUGGGGAGUACGCCGGCAACGGUGAAACUCAAAGGAAUUGACGGGGGCCCGCACAAGCGGAGGAACAUGUGGUUUAAUUCGAUGAUACGCGAGGAACCUUACCCGGGCUUAAAUUGCAGAUGAAUUACGGUGAAAGCCGUAAGCCGCAAGGCAUCUGUGAAGGUGCUGCAUGGUUGUCGUCAGCUCGUGCCGUGAGGUGUCGGCUUAAGUGCCAUAACGAGCGCAACCCUUGUUGUCAGUUACUAACAGGUUCCGCUGAGGACUCUGACAAGACUGCCAUCGCAAGAUGUGAGGAAGGUGGGGAUGACGUCAAAUCAGCACGGCCCUUACGUCCGGGGCUACACACGUGUUACAAUGGGGGGUACAGAGGGCCGCUACCACGCGAGUGGAUGCCAAUCCCCAAAACCUCUCUCAGUUCGGACUGGAGUCUGCAACCCGACUCCACGAAGCUGGAUUCGCUAGUAAUCGCGCAUCAGCCACGGCGCGGUGAAUACGUUCCCGGGCCUUGUACACACCGCCCGUCAAGCCAUGGGAGCCGGGGGUACCUGAAGUGCGUAACCGCGAGGAGCGCCCUAGGGUAAA